RNAcentral lists this unclassified non-coding RNA (378 nucleotides) under uncultured fungus. Its description in RNAcentral is "partial contains 5.8S ribosomal RNA and internal transcribed spacer 2". The stretch from base 1 to 133 matches the Rfam family "5.8S ribosomal RNA", at positions 22 to 154 of the family's 154-position model. Lineage: Eukaryota; Fungi. The record is from RNAcentral.
UGGCUCUCCCAUCGAUGAAGAACGCAGCGAAAUGCGAUAAGUAAUGUGAAUUGCAGAAUUCAGUGAAUCAUCGAAUCUUUGAACGCACCUUGCGCCCUUUGGUAUUCCGAAGGGCAUGCCUGUUUGAGUGUCAUUAAAUUAUCAACCUUUGUUCGUUUGAGCAAAGGCUUGGAUGUGAGGGCUUUGCUGGCUUCCUUCAGUGGAUGGUCUGCUCCCUUUAAAUGCAUUAGUGGGAUCUGUUGCGGACCGUCACUUGGUGUGAUAAUUAUCUAUGCCACUUGACUUUGAAGCAAACUUUAUUGGAACCCGCUCAUAACCGUCUCGCAAGAGACAACUUUUUUUUGACUUGACCUCAAAUCAGGUAGGACUACCCGCUGA